AACCUAGCACACCUGCGGUGUGUACCUGCGGAGGGAUCAUUAUCGAGUUACCACUCUAUAACCCUUUGUGAACAUACCUACAUGUUGCUUCGGCGGUCGGCCCCCCGGGCCCCCGGCCCCGCUCACGCGGGGCGUCCGCCGGAGGAUAACCAAACUCUGAUUUAACGACGUUUCUUCUGAGUGGCACAAGCAAAUAAUCAAAACUUUCAACAACGGAUCU
RNAcentral lists this unclassified non-coding RNA (220 nucleotides) under soil metagenome. RNAcentral describes it as "partial contains 5.8S ribosomal RNA, internal transcribed spacer 2, and large subunit ribosomal RNA". The record is from RNAcentral.